Molecule: ribosomal RNA, 406 nt
Filed under: uncultured bacterium
Lineage: Bacteria
Description: partial 16S ribosomal RNA
Rfam family: Bacterial small subunit ribosomal RNA
Source: RNAcentral
AUUGAACGCUGGCGGCAGGCCUAACACAUGCAAGUCGAACGAGUGGCGGACGGGUGAGUAAUGUCUGGGAAACUGCCUGAUGGAGGGGGAUAACUACUGGAAACGGUAGCUAAUACCGCAUACCAUCGGAUGUGCCCAGAUGGGAUUAGCUAGUAGGUGGGGUAAAGGCUCACCUAGGCGACGAUCCCUAGCUGGUCUGAGAGGAUGACCAGCAGCACUGGAACUGGGACACGGGCCAGACUCCUACGGGGGGGAGCAUGGGGGAAUAUUGCGCAAUGGGCGAAAGCCUGAUGCAGCCAGGCCGCGUGUGUGAAGAGGGCCUUCAGGGUGUAAAGUACUUUCAGCGGGGAGGCGUUACCCGCAGAAGAAGCACCGGCUAACUCCGUGCCAGCAGCCGCGGUAAUUC